Long non-coding RNA from Solea solea (common sole), 686 nucleotides. RefSeq lists it as uncharacterized. The record is from RefSeq and is a predicted model, not a curated record. Lineage: Eukaryota; Metazoa; Chordata; Actinopteri; Pleuronectiformes; Soleidae. The transcript is spliced from 3 exons.
UCUGCUGUGCCUCUUUCUCGACCCGCAGCCCUCUCCUCAAUUGCCAGUUUAAUGCUGACAAAACCAUUUUGUGCAUCUCCAGCCUGUCUCCUGACACAGGGCAGCUCAUCACUGAGUUUGCAUACAUUGUUUUUGAUCCUGUGGCGGAAGACGAUGUAAAGGAGUUAACGCUAGUAGCCACUACGCUCAAGAGUCAUUCAAAAAGACUUCAGCACGAAGACGGAGUGCACUGUGUUUGAAACCAUCCUUCGUUGGAUUACCCACAAACCUGAAGAGCGACAAAGUUCCAGAUGGCCUUGACAAGCGUUCCGUACGACAUUCAUGUGAAGACCAAUGAGCUGGUGGAGAUCAACGCUGAGUGCAGGCCAAUGAUCAGUGAUGCCACCCAAAUUGUACAGCAUGAGACAAAAAGGCCUUUCAUGUGUUUUCUGCUACCCUCUCGCUCAUCCUCGUUUACACAGUGCCAUCCUGUUCGCCAGUGGAGGCUGGAACUCUCAAGAGUUUGGAGGAAUUGAGGCUUAUGAUGCCUCUGUUGACCACUAGGUCAGUCAGUACAGCAGACACGAAACAUACAGAACCACAGCACAAUACAGCAAAUUGUCUGAUUGCCUGUCGUAGUCAGACUAUGGCCUUGGUUAAACUGCAUGUGAACUUCCUGACUGUCAAUGUGGCAAAGCAUGUGCAUC